Molecule: non-coding RNA, 151 nt
Organism: Danio rerio (zebrafish)
Lineage: Eukaryota; Metazoa; Chordata; Actinopteri; Cypriniformes; Danionidae
Source: Ensembl
UAGACUGCAGCAUAAGACGAAUAAGACUAUCCAUCUAUCGCCUGACCGCAUUUCAGCCAGGAACAUGGGAGGCCACGAUGCUGGGAGCCAACACCAGUUUACAGGGAUUGCCAAAUAUUUUAACUCAUACACCAUUACAGGAAGAAGGAAU